GACGAACCGUGCGAACGUUGUUCGGAAUCACUGGGCUUAAAGGGUGCGUAGGCGGCCUAGCAAGUCGGGUGUGAAAGCCCUCGGCUCAACCGAGGAAUUGCGUCCGAAACUGCUUGGCUCGAGGGAGAUAGGGGCGCGUGGAACUUCGGGUGGAGCGGUGAAAUGCGUUGAGAUCCGAAGGAACACCGGUGGCGAAAGCGACGCGCUGGGUCUCCUCUGACGCUGAGGCACGAAAGCUAGGGUAGCGAACGGG
Molecule: unclassified non-coding RNA, 253 nt
Filed under: uncultured Planctomycetia bacterium
Lineage: Bacteria; Pseudomonadati; Planctomycetota; Planctomycetia
Description: contains 16S-23S intergenic spacer region
Rfam family: Bacterial small subunit ribosomal RNA
Source: RNAcentral